CCCUUCCGGUCUGGCGCCGGGGGCGCCCGAGGGGGAGACGGAGCGGCCGGGGGCUCCCGCCGUCAUAAUAAUGCUGUGAUGCCCAUGUGGGCCUGGGACUGUGCGAUCAUGUAAUGAAAUAUGUAAAAACAUGGAUAUAUGUUCCCAAGUCCUAGAAGAACUGUGGAAGAUGGUGUGAGCUGAGUAUCUUGGCUAGGAAAUGAAGAUCUAUCACUUUCAGUUCAAGAAAAAUGGGACUAUAGGGUCUACAUAUGUGUUCUCGACCUCACACAAAGUAUGGAAAGGUUCAUUCAAAAUUUAAACGAGGGACCUGUUCUCCAAUCCGUCAUCCAGCAAAGAUAUUGCGAAUGUGAACAGAUGCCAAAACUCUACUACUCUUCAGGAAUAGUAAAGUUAGAAGAAAUGUCAAAACAACCAAAAGGCCCUCACCUGUAAUCUUUUGUUGCUCGUGCAGAAGACUCUAAUAAAGGCAGCUAGUAGUGAAUGGCUAAAGUCAACCUAUCUCGCCCCCGAAGCAAAGGGAUCAAGAGGAUACCUCAAAUCAAUUGCCUAUACAAGGAAUUGGGACAGUUUUCUCCUAAUUAUGAAAAAAAAAAACUCACAAUGGUUAAAAUUUCUAAAGUUGGGUGGACAUGCCUUCUGAAAGCUUGCAAUGAUCUAAAAGAUUAGUUCUCCCCUCCCUGCUUUAAAUGGUACACUAAGCCUUUAUGUUUGAUAGGUAAAUCCAGACCCAGAUGCAUUAUUGAGCACAAAAGGUUAUUCAGUUCAACAAAAACUACUGCCACGGACUUGCAGCUGUUGCAGAACUGUGCCAAAGAGGUUACACACACAUAUUGUUAUUUUGAUUGUUUGAACAAGAGGAUUUUCUGAUGGAUUGGCAGAGAGUUAAUCUGCUGAAUUAAACAUUAACCACAUCAGUCCACUUUAUUGUCCACGAAAUAAGAGUGGUCUGUAUAGGGUUACAGGACACCGUGGAAAUUUGGCACAUCACUUUGCGGCAAAUGAACAUACUGUUCACUUGUCACAAAGACAACUGUCACCAAGCUCCUCAAAGCAUUUAAAAGGUCAUUUAGCUCCACCCCUUCUUCAGUAUCUUCUCUCCUUUUUCUUUCCCCACCAAAGCCUAUGUUCACAGCGGGAUUGAAGCCAGAAUGUGCAAUGGUGGUUACUUUGUUUGUGUAAUAUCAAUUACGUCAGCAGAGCUCACCCAGUUAAUUCUGAACAGAUUUAUCAGUAAAAGGUUUGUAUUCUCUU
Ornithorhynchus anatinus (platypus) is the source of this 1254-nucleotide long non-coding RNA. RefSeq lists it as uncharacterized. The record is from RefSeq and is a predicted model, not a curated record. The transcript is spliced from 6 exons. NCBI's taxonomy places the organism in Eukaryota, Metazoa, Chordata, Mammalia, Monotremata, Ornithorhynchidae.